Apis cerana (Asiatic honeybee) is the source of this 353-nucleotide long non-coding RNA. RefSeq lists it as uncharacterized. The record is from RefSeq and is a predicted model, not a curated record. Lineage: Eukaryota; Metazoa; Arthropoda; Insecta; Hymenoptera; Apidae.
GGUACAAUUAAAGGAAGUUGCAAUUAUAGUGAUUAUGCUUGAAGACUCGGACAAUAUUUUUUUUUCACCGAGCUACUUUCCUCGAUGGACGCAUCGGCGACAAUCUCGAUUGGCCGGAUUAAACCGAGAAGGAAUAAAAAUCGUGGAGAGAAAGAGAGAACCUCUUCGAAAUACGGCGCGUAAUCGAGGGAGGAGAAGAGCAAUCGCAUCGAAGCUUAACGAUAAUCGAAAGCAAUCCAAGCAUUCGUUAUGUUGUUUCUCUGCAAGAAAAUUGAGCGAAGGAAGGGAGCGGUAACGAUGUUUAGUUUAGGAAAGUUGUAUUACUCUCACGAUUAAAUCGUUUGCUACAGAUA